RNAcentral lists this ribosomal RNA (446 nucleotides) under uncultured bacterium. RNAcentral describes it as "bacterial SSU rRNA". It matches the Rfam family "Bacterial small subunit ribosomal RNA", at positions 338 to 795 of the family's 1533-position model. The record is from RNAcentral.
CCUANGGGUGGCAGCAGUUUGGAAUUUUGGACAAUGGGCGAAAGCCUGAUCCAGCGACGCCGCGUGGACGAUGAAGGUCUUCGGAUCGUAAAGUCCUUUUGCUCGGGAACAAUUUUUGAGCGUACCGAGAGAAUAAGAGGUUGCUAACUCUGUGCCAGCAGCAGCGGUAAUACAGAGACCUCAAGCGUUAUCCGGAAUCAUUGGGCGUAAAGCGUACCGAUAGGUGGUUUUACAAGUCAGAAGUGAAAUCUUAAGGCUCAACCUUGAGACUGUCUUUUGAAACUGUAAAACUAGAGGGACAAAGAGGAAGCUGGAACGAACGGUGUAGUAGUGAAAUGCGUUGAUAUCGUUCGGAACACCAAUAGCGUAGGCAGGCUUCUGGGUGUCACCUGACACUGCUAGGACGAAAGCGUGGGGAGCGAAUGGGAUUAGAUACCCGUNUANUC